This 271-nucleotide long non-coding RNA is filed under the name Rosa chinensis. Its description in RNAcentral is "sRNA RchiOBHm_Chr4g0413531". Lineage: Eukaryota; Viridiplantae; Streptophyta; Magnoliopsida; Rosales; Rosaceae. The record is from RNAcentral.
AUAGGCGUGAGAUCAGAUGGACGCCCCAGAAUGAUCGAGAGGUUUCUGGGCUCUUCGACCCGGAUUCUCGAUCCGGUAACCGGCGAAGGAGAUCCGACGGAAUCAUAUCCGUCCGGCCGCGACGCGCUGACGGAUCACCAGCGUUAGAACGGCCUCGACGUCGCCGACAUCCCUCUUGUAUCGGUUUGGUCGAUCGUCGACCCUGGGGCGAGAAUCGAAGCCGUGAAGCUCUGAAUUCUCCGGCAGUUCCUCGGCUGUUUCCGGCAACGGA